RNAcentral lists this ribosomal RNA (482 nucleotides) under uncultured bacterium. Its description in RNAcentral is "partial 16S ribosomal RNA". It matches the Rfam family "Bacterial small subunit ribosomal RNA", at positions 28 to 507 of the family's 1533-position model. The record is from RNAcentral.
GACGAACGCUGGCGGCGUGCUUAACACAUGCAAGUCGAACGCUGAAGCUCAGCUUGCUGGGUGGAUGAGUGGCGAACGGGUGAGUAACACGUGAGUAACCUGCCCUCUUCUUUGGGAUAACGCCCGGAAACGGGUGCUAAUACUGGAUAUUCACUGAUUCUCGCAUGGGGGUUGGUGGAAAGGUUUUUUCUGGUGGGGGAUGGGCUCGCGGCCUAUCAGCUUGUUGGUGGGGUGAUGGCCUACCAAGGCUUUGACGGGUAGCCGGCCUGAGAGGGUGACCGGUCACAUUGGGACUGAGAUACGGCCCAGACUCCUACGGGGGGCAGCAGUGGGGAAUAUUGCACAAUGGGCGAAAGCCUGAUGCAGCGACGCCGCGUGAGGGAUGGAGGCCUUCGGGUUGUAAACCUCUUUCGCUCAUGGUCAAGCCGCAGCUUUGGGUUGUGGUGAGGGUAGUGGGUAAAGAAGCGCCGGCUAACUACGUG